RNAcentral lists this unclassified non-coding RNA (811 nucleotides) under uncultured Prochlorococcus sp. RNAcentral's name for it is "partial 16S-23S ribosomal RNA intergenic spacer; may also contain 16S ribosomal RNA and 23S ribosomal RNA". The stretch from base 1 to 93 matches the Rfam family "Bacterial small subunit ribosomal RNA", at positions 1441 to 1533 of the family's 1533-position model. The record is from RNAcentral. Lineage: Bacteria; Bacillati; Cyanobacteriota; Cyanophyceae; Synechococcales; Prochlorococcaceae.
UUGUGGAGGAGGACGCCGAAGGUGGGGCUGAUGACUGGGGUGAAGUCGUAACAAGGUAGCCGUACCGGAAGGUGCGGCUGGAUCACCUCCUAACAGGGAGACAAAAACUGAUUUAUUGAUGUCUGAUUAUUUUUCAGGCCGUAAUCCUGUCACCUUAGGUCGAUCGGUACCUCAGCUUAAAAACUUACUAAUUUCAUGAGAAAUCAAGUUUUUAUUUAAGUUUUUAAUCUCAGUUCCUAAACUUGUCUAGGUCACACCCAACAAACUUUCUCCUGGGCUAUUAGCUCAGGCGGUUAGAGCGCACCCCUGAUAAGGGUGAGGUCCCUGGUUCAAGUCCAGGAUGGCCCAUUCGUUGUUGGGGGUAUAGCUCAGUUGGUAGAGCGCCUGCUUUGCAAGCAGGAUGUCAGCGGUUCGAGUCCGCUUACCUCCACUGAUCAACUACCUGAUAACUCAAUUGGAGAUUGUCAUUUGUUUUACGUGACUUAGAUAUUGUUCAUCUGAAGGAACCUAGCUUCCUAUCACUCCUUAAUUAAUUUUAGGCUGAUAAGACGCUGGGCUCACUGAAUAUUCUUAGGAAUAUCAGUCUGAUUCAGUAGAACCUUGACAAUUGCAUAGGAAAAGUCUGGAAAAAUAAAGCAUCUCAUAGAUGCAUAGAAAUACUAUUAUUCAUUAAUUUUUUUUUUGAAUCACUUAUUGGUAUUUCUAUGAUUAAUUCUUGAGUUAGAGCAAAAAACAUCUAUUGCUUAAUUUAUUUAUUAGUUAUUAACUCUUUAAAUUUAGUAAGUAAAAUAGAUUAAUGGUCAAGCUACAA